Molecule: ribosomal RNA, 292 nt
Filed under: uncultured Bacteroidota bacterium
Lineage: Bacteria; Pseudomonadati; Bacteroidota
Description: uncultured Bacteroidetes bacterium partial 16S ribosomal RNA
Source: RNAcentral
GGACUACCCGGGUAUCUAAUCCUGUUCGCUACCCACGCUUUCGUGCCUCAGCGUCAAUUGUGGCUUAGUGAGCUGCCUUCGCAAUCGGUGUUCUACAUCAUAUCUAAGCAUUUCACCGCUACAUGAUAUAUUCCGCCCACUUCAACCAUAUUCAAGCUUAUCAGUUUCAAUGGCAAUUUCACAGUUAAGCUGUAAGCUUUCACCACUGACUUAAUAAGCCGCCUACGCACCCUUUAAACCCAGUGAAUCCGGAUAACGCUUGCACCCUCCGUAUUACCGCGGCUGCUGGCAC